GUUUACCCCCUUUAGUGGGUAAUAUGUUUUUUCUACCCAGAGCCAGGUUAUCUAUAUUGGCAUUGGAAAAGGUGAGCAAAUUACUAUCUGGUUUAUUCACCCAUACAUAAUAUCUGGCUUACUACACUAGAAGCAAUUUAUCUGUGUUUUCCUUUGAGCAUACAAGGAAAGAAAGAAGAAGAGGGAGGGUGUCACCUUAAUACACCAAAGUGGUUUUGAUUUGAGCCAGUCCUAUACUUGGCUCUUUAUUUGUGAGUUUGUUCUUUAUAUAUUUUUGUAUUAGCUAUACAGUACUUAACAUACUUCACCAUUAGAAUUUUCUCUCUCCAUUUUUAUAUAUGUCCCCUAUAUUAAGGGGUAAGUAUUUGUAUACAGCACUCCACUUAAAAGGGACACUAUAGUCACCCAGACCACUUCAGCUCAAUGAAGUCAUCUGGGUGCCAGGUCCCCCAUUUUUUAACCCUUCAGAUGUAAACAUAGCAGUUUCAGAGAAACUGCUAUGUUUACAUUGCAGGGUUAAUCCAGCCUCUAGUGGCUGUCUUCCUGACAGCCGCUAGAGGCGCUUCUGCAACGCUGGAUGUGAAAAUCGCAUUCAGUGUGCAGAAAGUCCUUAGGAAAGCAUUGAGAAAUGCUUUCCUAUGGACUGUUUGAAUGAGCGCACGGCUCUUGCCACGCAUGCGCAUUCCGCUCCACUCGGUAGCCAACGUCAGAGUGGGAGGAGAGGUCACCAGCGCCAAGGGAGGGGGACCCUGCAGGUGGGAGGGACCUAAGAGUUGUAUAGUGUCAGGAAAACAAGGGAUUAAUGGUGGAUGUUUCAUUUUAACUUCCUUUUAAUUCCCUUUUUUUUUCUUUAUCUGAAUACUUGGUGGAUUAGAGAGAUCUGUUGUAGCAGCUAAUAGUUUGGCAUUUUGAAUAGUUUUAUCUUAAGUGCCAAUUUUUAUACACAGAGCAAUUUUUCACUAAAUAUAUAGUAGAGGCUAACCCUAAAAAACUCACAUUUGUAACUGCUGCCAAAGAUGGUUCUACCUGUAGAUUAAUUUAUGGGAGGGGGAACGCUUAUGCAAUCAAUAUGUGUUUUUUAUUGUUUAAUAACAUUCUUUCAUCACAAUAAAAAUAUAUUGCAAUAGAUUCUUAUGUAUCUUGUGUAAAACAAAUGGUAAAAAAAUAUGAAUUUAUUCCAGGCUAUAAUACUACGAACUAUGAAAACAUCCUAUAAGAGUGUACUUAUUCAAGGCACUGUAUAAAUAUAGGUAUAAUUAAAGUAUUCUCGGACACAUUCUAAGAUGACCUGCAUCCAUAUGUCUCUGGUUUAUUUUUGUUUUUCUUUUAAAGAAGGAAAGUAUUAGUAGGUUUGGCUUCGAAACAUAAUAUCAUCAAAUACCAAAUUGCUUCUAGCAAUGGCAAUGUAUUUCUAUUUUUUUUUUCUUUUGACAGGAACAUGUUCUUUGCCAAAUCGGCCUAAAAAUUUAGACUAUGGAUUCUUCUUUCCUUUCUUUCAAAGUCUGCAUAUAAUUAUAGUUAGAAGUGGUUCACAUACAUCUGUUUACAUAAAUGUCUAUAGUGCAGAGCAAAUAGCACAUAUAGGUACAUUAAUCUCAGAGUGACUCUAUCCAUUGCAUGAAAACGCAGACUGAAGGUAUCCUUUCCUCCAUAACAUGUUUGUAUAGUCUGGCUCUGCGGUAACUGUGGAGAUGGCAAGAUGUUCGAAAAUUCCUCACUGUACUUUUGUCCUUGUGGGUUUAUUAGGAUAUACAAUACCACAAGGAUAUGAUUCCAACAAAAUAGAUUGAGUUUCUUGUUGUCCAAUUUGCGCAAAAAAUGUGGUCAUUGCAAAUUAAUCCAUUCACUGUCAAAUAAGCAUAGCUUUUCAAAAAUGUAUUCUCGCUGAAAAUAGUCUACAUUUGUUUGCAAUAUUUCAAUACAAAAAUCUAAAUAAAUGGGGAUAAUGAAAGCUCCCCCUUUUAAAUCGAGAAGGAUACAACACUCUUCCUGUUUCCAGACAUGCAUGUGUCCAGUCAGAAACAAAAUCUUUCAAGUAAUUGGCCAUGUGACUAUAUGAAACAACCAGCAAAACACAAUGAAAUCUCUAAUGACAGGAGGGUAUAAAAUGGUCAUGUGUUCUGUUGGAGCCAAUGUUUCUCAAAGACAGGCUAUGUUAAUUUAUUUUUUCUUUGCAUUUGGGUUUCCAUUCUUUUCUCUAUACAGAACUCAACAAUACUGUGUUAAAGGGUUUUAUAGUUAAAGAGACACUGUAGGCACCCAGAUAACUUAGUCUCGUUGAAUUGGUCUGGUGGCAGUGUCCUUGUCCCCGUUAUUCCUGCAAUUUUAAACUGAAGUGUUUACAUUGCAGUACUAAGACUGCAUGAGGACAUCCACCGUCAGAGAAAGCCUCAUAGGAAAGCAUGGAGGCAAGGCUUUCCUAUGAAGAAGGGCUAAUAUGCGGGCGCUGCAUUAGGUCCAUCCUGUGGCUGACGUGAGAGGUGGAGCGCGUACCCAUCACCAAGGUACAUCAGCGCUGGAAUCGGGUAAGUGAAUAAACGUUUUUUUUUUUCCCUUUAUGUGCCACAGAGAGGUCACCAAAGGGGUGGAGUAGAGGGCACUAUAGUAGUAUAUAUGGAAUACAGCUCUCCUAACACUAUAGUUUUUCUUUAAUUGAUGCUUAUUUUUUUUUAGCAGAAAGUGAGGACUCAAGUCAUAGUUUUAAUAAUGGUUAAUAAUGGUAUUAACUAUUAUAUAUUUAUUUAAAAUGGUUGAGAUAUACAUUUCCAUGUCCACAAAUACACACUACAUCCCAUAUACCAACACUCCCAGUGCUGGAAGGGCAUGCAGAGGUGAACCUAUGUAGACUCCUAGUAGAAUUAUUUUCACUUUUGAGUUUUUUGUCUAAAUCUAUUCAAACCCUUCAAUUUAGUCCUCUAAAAUAGAUUUAUUCCACCAAAAAAAAAUCAUAAUGUCUAUAUCUUAUCUUUUUUCCAUUACUUUUUACUUUGUAAACUUGUCAUGCCAAGUUCCCAAUCUAAAACAAUUUCCAUUUUACUUACCAUAUGUCAUGAUUUCCUUUCCCAAUUUAAGACACUCAUGUAAGGUUAACUGAGGUCCGGCAUUAGGAACAAUUAAAUCACUAUAAAAACAUUUCUGCAUGGUAUGCCACGUGAUUUCCCAGAACCUUAGUUUACCUACAGUAUCAUGCAGAUACUAACCAUGCAUAUGAUGCACAGUAUAGAACAGGCUUUGCUAGGUAAACUAGAAAGGUACCACAAAAAACUUUCACCACUGAAACAUAAAUAUACAUCAACAAGCUGUAUUAUCAUUUCCACUUGCUAUUCUUAUUUUUUGCAUGAACUUUAUUUUUUUUUUUCAGGUAACUUGUUUAUUGACUAUGCAAACCCUUGCAGAAUAAUGCCAUUGAAUCAACUUCCACAGCCAGACAGCUGAAAUCGGACCAAAUCCACUGCCUGGAUUUAAAAAAAAAAACAUCUGAACUAGUGGCUUGCCGGCAGCUCUAGCAGUCUGAGGACAAAUACUUAAAUAACCCUCGAUGGCGCGAGAUUUAAUUAUGUGGCGACUGUCCAGGGCUUGCUAUAAAUAGAAGCCUAUGGGACCAAUCAGACCCCUAUUACUGUAAGGAGGUUUACACCUCCCUAUUCGCCUAUCUGCCAACUACUAACUUGUUAAAACCAUUGCCGCCCAGUUGCUAGAAAAGCCCCAUUCAUUGGGAUAGGGCUGUGAAAUAAUGGACAUUGGAUGAGGGACAUUAAAACAAGUAAUGGGGGUGGACAGAUCACUGUUCACCCACUGCCCCCUUCCUUGGCAACGUGUGGGGGCUAUUUAAUAAAAUAAAUGGAGAAAACAUCCUUAUGCCCAAUGAUACUGGUAAGAAUUUAUAUAUUUUUAACAGGUAUUAUAUUUAUUGUCUCCCCUCAAUACUGAACGGUCAACGUGGGUAGGUAGGGUUAUUUAUUUUUAAUAGGGUGUGACUACAGGAUUGGAAAAUGCUUGCCACUCGGGGGUACACUAUGAUCCCUGCAAUACUUCACAGGUUCUAUCCCCAUGAGAUGGGGUCUAUUUUAGUGUCUGGGCAGCAAUGACUGUCCAGUCCCUAGUUUUACCAAAUUGGUAGAUGUCCCUCUACCUGCCGCAUGGCAAAAUGGUGGGAAAUAACAAGGUUUAAAAUCUUCCUUACAGCAAUAUGGUGGUCUUAUUGACCCCCACAGGCUUUUAAUUUGUUUAACUUUUUAAUGUGGUGGCUGGCUAGCCUUCAAAUAUUUGACCCUCAUGCUGCAGAGGGUCAAUCAGACAUCAGCAGUAGUUCAGGGGAUGGAAGGCAAUGAUUUUAGACAGCAACAUCAGUUCAAGCAAGGGACUGGUGGAAGGGAUGGAACAAGGAAACAAACUUUAAUCCCCACCUUUUUCCAGCAGUCUAACGUGAACUGAAUAAGGACACGUAAUCAUAAAGCACGGCCAGCAGUCUGACCAGCCCAAGCUAAGAUAUCCCACCGUGACAUCCAUUAGCCAGUCCAGCACUGGUAUUGUUGGUAUAGGGGAUGUAUGUAUGUAUGUGUUUAGAUGUAGUGUGUAUGUAUUUGUAUAGAGGCUGUAUGUGUAUCUACCGGAGUUCUGUGGAAGUGUGUAGCGCCAGUAGAGUGUAAAGGGAAUAGGGGUUUCAGGAAGCCAAGGGUGAGCAAGAUAUUUAAAAAAAAAAAUAUAUAUAUAUAUAUAUAUAUAUAUAUAAAAACAAUUUUAAUAAAAUGAACUAAUUAUUAAAAUAUAAGCGUGUGCCCCCCUCACUUUGUUACCUUUUGCCAUGGGUGGGGGGGGACAUUUGGUGGUCCAGUGGUCUGAGCGAACUUUGUGGCUAGUGCAGAAUAUAUGUUUAUUCUCUGAGCUCCAACAUGGUAACCUGCAACAACACUUUCAGUGACUGGAGCUAAGUAUUUGACCCAACAGGCAUUUGCCAGUUUGUCUGAUGGCCAGUCUGUACCUGGUUCAAAGUACACAACAGAAGUUCAAUAUCAGUAUCAGUAGGCACUUUGUGGAGAAUCACAAUGACAUGCACUAUACAUCGCAUCAUUGCUGAAACCAGAUGGAACCCACAAAUGGAAUUGUGGGAAAGUUAUUGAAUUAGCAUAUAUUUGACUUAAAUUCCUUUCUAUUUUAGUACAGAAAUACAUUUAAUUACAUUCAAAUUGAAAACAGAAAUAGAGUUUUGUAAAAAAAUAAAUAAGAACAAUUAAUUGCUAUUUUUGUUAGUCGUAUGAAAAUAUAAACAUGGCCUAUGUCCAUAUGUGAUAGUACAUCUUUAAAAAAUAAAUAAAUAAAAAAAUAAACUCUUUGCAAUGACAUCAUUUAUGUGGAUCUGCUUAAAAUAAUUGCCUGGUUUGUGCUCUUUUCUUGCGUCUGUAGCAUUUUCAAGCUUAUUUUCUUCAUUGUAUUCUCCUUUUCCAGUCAGGGUUCAUUAUCUGUAUGGGAGAGCAGAACAGUCUUGUUGUCAUUCUGCUCAGCAGGGGAUACUAAUUGUCUGGCUUUUCUAUCCUCAGCUGAAUGUCACUUAUGCAAAUGCUGUGUAUUUACAGAAUGUGACAAUAACUCAGGCUUAAUAUGGACACAUGCAUAAAGAAUGGCUGAACUGACUUGUGUGCUAAGCUGAGCUGAAAAGUAUUCUUUUAUAUUGGAUGUGCUUGGCAGAUUAUUUGAGUCUGAAAUACUCUGAGGGAAUUUGUACUCUGGAAGAGACUAUGUGUUCUGUUGCUACUUUAUUUAAAAUUAAGCAUCUUUUCCAAGUUAAUCCAUUGUCUGGCAUCUUUGAAUUUCUUAUAGUAUUUCAUUAUAGGGGUAGGAAAGCCACAAAACAUUUGAACUUACGCAUCAGUAGACUUCAGUCAUUAUUAAAGUCCAGCUCCCAUGCUGCUCAGUCAGCCAUUUUCACAGACCAGGCAUUCUGAGAAUUAUGGGUAGUUUGUUCUCUUUAUGUUAGGUGAAGGCACACAAGUUUGAUGAUAGAGUUAUGUGCUUCUGGCUGACAGUGGUUUUAAAAAUACAGCAGAAACUAAAUAUCAGUCAUAUAUAUUUCCAAGCACAAUAGCAAAUGGAAAGACUGUACUGCAAAUAAUUGGAAAAUGAAUAUCUGUCAUUGAUAUUCAAAAUAGCCCUAAAUCUGCUAUAUUAUAGAAGGAUAUGUGUGCAAUAGUUUGGAAGCUUAAGAAAGGUUUCAUUUCAAAUUAACAUUUGCUGCAGGUUUAUUAUAGUAAUAGUGAUGUCUAUACAGCAUUGAAAUUAUAUACUUGGCAUACUGACCUGGGAAUCCCAUUGAGUUAAAUGACAACUGUUACCUCAAAACUAUGUUUUAAUAAAAUAAUGGAAUGGAAAACUGACAGUCUCUAUCAUCAUCUCUGUUUCACACCCUGCAAAGAACUUGGGAGGACUAUAGAGACUAACUGUCAGUUGACAUAAGUAUUCAGACCGUUUGCUAUGACACCAACCAUUUUCUUUUUUUUUUUAGAUGUUUCUAAACUUUGACUAGAGUCCACCUCCCAUUGAUUGAACAUUAUUUGGAAAGGCACCCACCGUGUCUAAUUAAGGUUUCACAGCCGUGAAUGCAUAUCGAAGUAAAAACCGAAGAAUUAGAUCACAAGAAAUGUCAACAGAGCUCAGAGACAGGACUUGGUCGAGGCACAGAUCUGGGGAAGGCUACAAAAACAUGUUGACUGCAUUGAAUGUUUCCAAGAGCACAGUGGCCUUCAUGAAUGAGGAAGUUUGGAAAGACCAAUACUUUUCCUAGAUGUUGCUGCCAGUUCAAAGUGAGCAAUCAUGGGAGAAGGACCUUGGUAAGAGAGGUGACCAAGAACCCAAUGGUCACUCUGGGUGAGCUCAGGGCCGGCGCGUCCUAUAGGAGACUUUGGCAGUCGCACAGCGCUCCCUCCUACCUGUCACUCAGUGUAGCAUGGGCAGGAAGCGCAGACCACGGUACAGGAGUUCUGUUUCCUGUUCCUGG
This is a non-coding RNA of Pelobates cultripes (western spadefoot toad), 6991 nucleotides long. The record is from the annotation of a GenBank genome assembly. NCBI's taxonomy places the organism in Eukaryota, Metazoa, Chordata, Amphibia, Anura, Pelobatidae.